This is a small nuclear RNA of Bos indicus x Bos taurus (hybrid cattle), 106 nucleotides long. Lineage: Eukaryota; Metazoa; Chordata; Mammalia; Artiodactyla; Bovidae. The record is from Ensembl.
GUGCUCGCUUCGGCAUCACAUAUACUAAAAUUGGAACGAUACAGAGAAGAUUAGCUGGCUCCUGUGCAAGGAUGACACGCAAAUUUGUGAAGUGUUCCAUAUUUUU